Molecule: ribosomal RNA, 254 nt
Filed under: uncultured bacterium
Lineage: Bacteria
Description: partial 16S ribosomal RNA
Rfam family: Bacterial small subunit ribosomal RNA
Source: RNAcentral
UACGGAGGAUCCAAGCGUUAUCCGGAUUUAUUGGGUUUAAAGGGUGCGUAGGUGGCCUGUUAAGUCAGGGGUGAAAGACGGUAGCUCAACUAUCGCAGUGCCCUUGAUACUGAUGGGCUUGAAUAAACUAGAGGUAGGCGGAAUGUGACAAGUAGCGGUGAAAUGCAUAGAUAUGUCACAGAACACCAAUUGCGAAGGCAGCUUACUAUGGUUUUAUUGACACUGAGGCACGAAAGCGUGGGGGAUCAAACAGG